AUGUUUGUGGACACCGCCAUUCUGUUUUAUAUUAAUUGUGGUUGUUUUGUUGCAUUUUUUGUUCAUUAAUGUGAAUUGGUGCUGUUUACCGGUCUGGUUGGGUGUAUGUAAGCGCAAGGCCAGAAGGAAGGUUGGAGAAAGGAUCUGGCAAUUCUUAACGAGAAAUAUUCGAUAGCUGAUGAUAUUGUCACUAACAAAAACAAUUACUUCGAAAGAUUCUGUGCAGAGGCAGGAUUGAAUUGUUUAGAAUAUGCGUGAUGUUGAUAGUUUUACUCAGGUGUAGUGAGCGAUGUCUGUAAAAUUUAUUCUUUGAAUAAAAAAUCUGAUUGAUAAAUAUUAUUGUCGAAAAAUUAUAGAUAAGUCAUUUGUUGCUUUGUAUAUUAAAGGUACAUCUUUGUAGUCUAGGGCACCUCUUUUUUUUUGAAUAAAUAAAAUGAUUAGCAUUGUAGAUGAACUGUUGAAAUUAUGAUGUUAUACGACAUUGCUUUUUUUUGUUUUAUUUUUUUUUUCUAGAGUGUAUGUGAUAUUGCUUUAUUGGUAGUUUUACUCUGCUGUAGUAAAUGGUGUUUAUUAAAUUAGUAGUACAUUUGAUUUUAUUAUUACUUUUUCCUGAAAAAACUAUACAUAAGAUUUUUUUCUGCUACAUAUUGAGCAGACACACCUUCAUAGUUCUGCGGGCUUUGUAUUUUUUAAAAUAAAUGAAAUGGAUAGUAUAUUUCCUUUUUGAUUUUGAAAAACCAAAAUGGUUUUAUAGUUUUAACUAUAGAAUUUAUUCUAUUAUAGGUGAUGUCUGCUAAAGAAUAACUAUGGUUCUCAAUGAAAAUAAUAGGGUCAUAGAAAGAAUAGAUUAUUAACGCCUACUUAACAAAGUACGGUUGAUUAGUCAUUUGUGAUUGCUUUCUCCCCUCCUUUUCUUUUAUGGACGAAGCUAAUCUGUAUGCUUUUUUGAAUGAAGCUAAUCAGUAUUUAUAAACAAAAACAUUGCAAAAAGAACUUAACAGAAAAGAAAAAAUUGCAGAUUAUAUACAGGUUCAAUAUAUUUAUGUGCUAUUAUUUUGAACGUGAUGAUUUAGCUCCUUAGGUAGCCUGGUCUUUUAUGCUAAAAAAAUAGUUUAAUAAUGUAUAGCCUUUUUUUUU
Molecule: long non-coding RNA, 1137 nt
Filed under: Ananas comosus (pineapple)
Lineage: Eukaryota; Viridiplantae; Streptophyta; Magnoliopsida; Poales; Bromeliaceae
Description: long non-coding RNA (ACOM_LNC013363)
Source: RNAcentral